UACGUGGGGUGCGAGCGUUAAUCGGAAUUACUGGGCGUAAAGCGUGCGCAGGCGGUUUGUUAAGUCUGCUGUGAAAUCCCCGAGCUCAACUUGGAAACUGCGUUGGAUACUAUCCGGCUCGAGGAAUGGAGGGGAGACUGGAAUACUUGGUGUAGCAGUGAAAUGCGUAGAUAUCAAGUGGAACACCAGUGGCGAAGGCGAGUCUCUGGACAUUUCCUGACGCUGAGGCACGAAAGCCAGGGGAGCAAACGGG
Molecule: ribosomal RNA, 253 nt
Filed under: uncultured bacterium
Lineage: Bacteria
Description: partial 16S ribosomal RNA
Rfam family: Bacterial small subunit ribosomal RNA
Source: RNAcentral